GAGGGUAUAGCUCAGUGGUAGAACAUUCGUCUGGUAAUCGAGAGGUUCCCCGUUCAAACCCGGGUGUCCUCU
Trichonephila clavipes is the source of this 72-nucleotide non-coding RNA. The record is from the annotation of a GenBank genome assembly. Lineage: Eukaryota; Metazoa; Arthropoda; Arachnida; Araneae; Nephilidae.